This 248-nucleotide ribosomal RNA is filed under the name uncultured bacterium. RNAcentral describes it as "partial 16S ribosomal RNA". It matches the Rfam family "Bacterial small subunit ribosomal RNA", at positions 15 to 253 of the family's 1533-position model. The record is from RNAcentral.
GAUCCUGGUUCAGGAUGAACGCUAGCUACAGGCUUAACACAUGCAAGUCGAGGGGCAGCAUUCCAGUUUGCUUGCAAACUGGAGAUGGCGACCGGCGCACGGGUGAGUAACACGUAUCCAACCUGCCGAUAACUCGGGGAUAGCCUUUCGAAAGAAAGAUUAAUACCCGAUGGCAUAAUAGAACCGCAUGGUUUGAUUAUUAAAGAAUUUCGGUUAUCGAUGGGGAUGCGUUCCAUUAGGCAGUUGGG